This 497-nucleotide ribosomal RNA is filed under the name uncultured bacterium. RNAcentral's name for it is "partial 16S ribosomal RNA". It matches the Rfam family "Bacterial small subunit ribosomal RNA", at positions 28 to 507 of the family's 1533-position model. The record is from RNAcentral.
GUUGAACGCUGGCGGCGUGCCUAAUACAUGCAAGUCGAGCGAACAGACGAGGAGCUUGCUCCUCUGACGUUAGCGGCGGACGGGUGAGUAACACGUGGAUAACCUACCUAUAAGACUGGGAUAACUUCGGGAAACCGGAGCUAAUACCGGACAAUAUAUUGAACCGCAUGGUUCAAUAGUGAAAGACGGUUUUGCUGUCACUUAUAGAUGGAUCCGCGCCGCAUUAGCUAGUUGGUAAGGUAACGGCUUACGAAGGCGACGAUGCGUAGCCGACCUGAGAGGGUGAUCGGCCACCCUGGAACUGAGACACGGUCCAGACUCCUACGGGAGGCAGCAGUAGGGAAUCUUCCGCAAGGGGCGAAAGCCUGACGGAGCAACGCCGCGUGAGUGAUGAAGGUCUUCGGAUCGUAAGACUCUGUUAUUAGGGAAGAACAAAUGUGUAAGUAACUAUGCACGUCUUGACGGUACCUAAUCAGAAAGCCACGGCUAACUACGUG